AUGGCAUGGUGAGGACAAUCGGCACAAAGCUUCUUGAAUCUUUCCCAAGCUUGACAGAAAUUCUUAUCUUUACAUUGUUGAAAGUUGGCAAUCCUUUGUCUUCCUUU
RNAcentral lists this small nucleolar RNA (107 nucleotides) under Corchorus capsularis. RNAcentral's name for it is "Plant small nucleolar RNA R71". It matches the Rfam family "Plant small nucleolar RNA R71". Rfam says of the family: R71 is a member of the C/D box family of snoRNAs containing the C (UGAUGA) and D (CUGA) box motifs. Multiple nearly identical copies of this snoRNA have been identified in Arabidopsis, and it is thought to function as a 2'-O-ribose methylation guide for 18S ribosomal RNA. The record is from Rfam by way of RNAcentral. Lineage: Eukaryota; Viridiplantae; Streptophyta; Magnoliopsida; Malvales; Malvaceae.